AUAAGAAGUCGUACCUGCCCAGUGAAGUUUUAACGGCCGCGGUAUCCUGACUGUGCAAAGGUAGCAUAAUAAUUUGCCUUAUAAUUGAAGGCUGGAAUGAAUGGUUUGACAUGGGUUUAUCUGUCUCUAUGGAAUUUUUUAGAAUUUUAUUUUUAGGUGAAAAAGCCUGAUUUUUAUUAAAAGACAAGAAGACCCUAUCGAGCUUUAAAUAAGUUGGUAAAAUCUGAUAUUUGUAUAAUAAUUAAGUUACUAAAAAUUUUGGUUGGGGCAACCUAGGAACAUUAAAAGCUUCCUAUCAAUUUAUAAACAUUUAGUUAUGAUCCAAAAAUUUUGAUUAAAAGAAUUAGUUACCGUAGGGAUAACAGCAUUAUUUUUUUUGAGAGCUCUUAUCGAAAAAAAAGUUUGUGACCUCGAUKUUGGACCAGAAUAUCCUAAAGAUGCARAAGUCUUUAAGGGUUGGUCUGUUCGACCAUUAAAAUUCUA
Molecule: ribosomal RNA, 483 nt
Filed under: Raphitoma pseudohystrix
Lineage: Eukaryota; Metazoa; Mollusca; Gastropoda; Neogastropoda; Raphitomidae
Description: partial 16S ribosomal RNA
Rfam family: Bacterial large subunit ribosomal RNA
Source: RNAcentral